GAACCUCCUCCUCGAAGUCUCAAUGCAAGCAUACAUUUUUGAGAUCAAACUAGUGCAAUUCCCAUCUAGAGCUGUAAGAGAUAGUAAGAUAUGAAAUAAUAUUCACCUUUGCUAUUAGAGCAAAUGUCUCUUCAUAAUUGACGUCACAUGUCUAAUUAUAUCCUUUUGCCACUAGUAUGGCCUUAUAACGGUCGAGGGUGCCAACUCAACAAUCUUCCAAGUUCCAUUUUUUCA
This 234-nucleotide long non-coding RNA is filed under the name Medicago truncatula (barrel medic). RNAcentral's name for it is "long non-coding RNA (MTRU_LNC005673)". Lineage: Eukaryota; Viridiplantae; Streptophyta; Magnoliopsida; Fabales; Fabaceae. The record is from RNAcentral.